CGGGGUGUGGCGCAGUCUGGCAGCGCGCCAGUCUGGGGGACUGGAGGUCCCGGGUUCAAAUCCCGGCUCCCCGACCA
RNAcentral lists this transfer RNA (77 nucleotides) under Chloroflexota bacterium. RNAcentral describes it as "Chloroflexi bacterium tRNA-Pro". It matches the Rfam family "tRNA". Rfam says of the family: Transfer RNA (tRNA) molecules are approximately 80 nucleotides in length. Their secondary structure includes four short double-helical elements and three loops (D, anti-codon, and T loops). Lineage: Bacteria; Bacillati; Chloroflexota. The record is from RNAcentral. RNAcentral also lists the same sequence under 2 other names.